GACGAACGCUGGCGGCGUGCCUAAUACAUGCAAGUAGAACGCUGAAGGAGGAGCUUGCUUCUCUGGAUGAGUUGCGAACGGGUGAGUAACGCGUAGGUAACCUGCCUGGUAGCGGGGGAUAACUAUUGGAAACGAUAGCUAAUACCGCAUAAUAGUAGAUGUUGCAUGACAUUUGCUUAAAAGGUGCAAUUGCAUCACUACCAGAUGGACCUGCGUUGUAUUAGCUAGUUGGUGGGGUAACGGCUCACCAAGGCGACGAUACAUAGCCGACCUGAGAGGGUGAUCGGCCACACUGGGACUGAGACACGGCCCAGACUCCUACGGGAGGCAGCAGUAGGGCAUCUUCGGCAAUGGACGGAAGUCUGACCGAGCAACGCCGCGUGAGUGAAGAAGGUUUUCGGAUCGUAAAGCUCUGUUGUAAGAGAAGAACGAGUGUGAGAGUGGAAAGUUCACACUGUGACGGUAUCUUACCAGAAAGGGACGGCUAACUACGUG
Molecule: ribosomal RNA, 495 nt
Filed under: uncultured bacterium
Lineage: Bacteria
Description: partial 16S ribosomal RNA
Rfam family: Bacterial small subunit ribosomal RNA
Source: RNAcentral